Alosa sapidissima (American shad) is the source of this 401-nucleotide long non-coding RNA. RefSeq lists it as uncharacterized. The transcript is spliced from 3 exons. NCBI's taxonomy places the organism in Eukaryota, Metazoa, Chordata, Actinopteri, Clupeiformes, Clupeidae. The record is from RefSeq and is a predicted model, not a curated record.
UGUGUGUGUGUGUGUGUGUUGUUUGUGUGUCAGUGUAGCGAAGGGAGAGAGCAGUGACCCCACCCGGUCUUGAACACAGGUUUCCAAACUAAAGUUUACAGUUGGGAUCCUCCAGAAGAGAAGAAAGAUGCUUCACUCCUGAGUCUCCUGCUUUAUUCCAUCUCAGCUGCAGCUCUCUCAUGUGUGAGGGGUUUGAUCUCAGUGCUGAUGCAAGAGCUCUGAAGCCUUCAUCUCCAAUACUGCAGUGUGACAGACUGUAGAGAGAAUUUACAGUUGGGAUCCUCCAGAAGAGAAGAAAGAUGCUUCACUCCUGAGUCUCCUGCUUUAUUCCAUCUCAGCUGCAGCUCUCUCAUGUGUGAGGGGUUUGAUCUCAGUGCUGAUGCAAGAGCUCUGAAGCCUUC